Molecule: ribosomal RNA, 468 nt
Filed under: uncultured bacterium
Lineage: Bacteria
Description: partial 16S ribosomal RNA
Rfam family: Bacterial small subunit ribosomal RNA
Source: RNAcentral
GACGAACGCUGGCGGCGUGCUUAACACAUGCAAGUCGAACGGAAAGGCCCUGCUUUUGUGGGGUGCUCGAGUGGCGAACGGGUGAGUAACACGUGAGUAACCUGCCCUUGACUUUGGGGUAACUUCAGGAAACUGGGGCUAAUAUCGGAUAGGAGCUCCUGCUGCAUGGUGGGGGUUGGAAAGUUUCGGCGGGUGGGGAUGGACUCGCGGCUUAUCAGCUUGUUGGUGGGGUAGUGGCUUACCAAGGCUGUGACGGGUAGCCGGCCUGAGAGGGUGACCGGCCACAUUGGGACUGAGAUACGGCCCAGACUCCUACGGGAGGCAGCAGUGGGGAAUAUUGCACAAUGGGCGGAAGCCUGAUGCAGCAACGCCGCGUGCGGGAUGACGGCCUUCGGGUUGUAAACCGCUUUCGCCUGUGACGAAGCGUGAGUGACGGUAAUGGGUAAAGAAGCACCGGCUAACUACGUG